UACAGAGGUCCCAAGCGUUGUUCGGAUUCACUGGGCGUAAAGGGUGCGUAGGCGGUUUGACAUGUCUGAUGUGAAAUCCCGCAGCUUAACUGCGGAACUGCAUUGGAAACUGUUUGACUAGAGGAAUGGAGGGGAGACUGGAAUACUUGGUGUAGCAGUGAAAUGAGUAGAUAUCAAGUGGAACACCAGUGGCGAAGGCGAGUCUCUGGACAAAACCUGACGCUGAGGCACGAAAGCCAGGGGAGCAAACGGG
This 253-nucleotide ribosomal RNA is filed under the name uncultured bacterium. Its description in RNAcentral is "partial 16S ribosomal RNA". It matches the Rfam family "Bacterial small subunit ribosomal RNA", at positions 524 to 776 of the family's 1533-position model. The record is from RNAcentral.